GACGAACGCUGGCGGCGUGCUUAACACAUGCCAGUCGAACGGAAAGGCCCUGCUUUUGUGGGGUGCUCGAGUGGCGAACGGGUGAGUAACACGUGAGUAACCUGCCCUUGACUUUGGGAGAACUUCAGGAAACUGGGGCUAAUACCGGAUAGGAGCUCCUGCUGCAUGGUGGGGGUUGGAUAGUUUCGGCGGUUGGGGAUGGACUCGCGGCUUAUCAGCUUGUUGGUGGGGUAGUGGCUUACCAAGGCUUUGACGGGUAGCCGGCCUGAGAGGGUGACCGGCCACAUUGGGACUGGACUGCGGCCCAGACUCGUACGGGAGGCAGCGGUGGGGAAUAUUACACAAUGGGCGGAAGCCUGAUGCAGCAACGCCGCGUGCGGGAUGACGGCCUGCGGGUUGUAAACCGCUUUCGCCUGUGACGAAGCGUGAGUGACGGUAAUGGGUAAAGAAGCACCGGCUAACUACGUG
This 468-nucleotide ribosomal RNA is filed under the name uncultured bacterium. Its description in RNAcentral is "partial 16S ribosomal RNA". It matches the Rfam family "Bacterial small subunit ribosomal RNA", at positions 28 to 507 of the family's 1533-position model. The record is from RNAcentral.